GUCACAAAACAUUCUUUGGAGUAUCUUCAGUGGUGGCAAGCCUUCAUUCUUAUCAGAUAGAUCUGGUUUGGGGUAAACACCUAAAGUAAUCUGGAGUCAAAUCAGGCAGUUAAGAGUAAUGACAUUCAGUAAAGUGUGAAAUGGAAAAUGUAAUCUUGGCAACAAAAUAAUGAGAUUCUAGUUCACCAGAAAUAUGUUCUGAAACCAAUUUUCCUGAAGUAAGGCGAGUCAGAUGACAUGGACUUGAUGAGGGCUGGUCCCAGAAAUAAAGAAGGGCCAUCCUGAGGUGAAGACACCCUGAAGAUGAAAGAACACUGUCCAGGGUGGAAUAAAGUACACUGGGAACCAUAA
Pan troglodytes (chimpanzee) is the source of this 351-nucleotide long non-coding RNA. RefSeq lists it as uncharacterized. The record is from RefSeq and is a predicted model, not a curated record. The transcript is spliced from 2 exons. Lineage: Eukaryota; Metazoa; Chordata; Mammalia; Primates; Hominidae.